This 835-nucleotide long non-coding RNA is filed under the name Numida meleagris (helmeted guineafowl). Its description in RNAcentral is "lncRNA (ENSNMEG00000010189.1)". Lineage: Eukaryota; Metazoa; Chordata; Aves; Galliformes; Numididae. The record is from RNAcentral.
AUGCAUAUUUUUCUAAACCAAAAUACUGCUUAUUUUCGUAGUGUAUAUUUUGAAAUAAUGACUGGUCAAAGAGGAGUAUCAAUGCAUUUGAAGGAGCAAAGUGUGAAAGAUUUCAGCAGGAAGAAGCUUGAUCUCAGGAAAUUGAUGUAUUCCACGUUGGAUACUGCACUGCACCUCCAGUUUAGACAGAAGAGGAGUUGUGUUAGCAAAUGCUCAACCAAAUGUAAAAACAUUGCUAAAGUAAUGGACUCCAACAAAGAUCCGAUUUUACUUUGGGGAGAUAAAUGGUGACAUACUGGGAAGACCGUGCUGUGGAAGCGGUGAAGCUGAUACCUUUGUUCAGCGUCUUGCUUUUCUCUUUUCAUGCUAAGCAUACAGCUACAGAGCAGCACGACAUGCUGUGCUGUCCGUGCACAGCGUUAUCCGCCGUGCAGUGGGAGAAAAUUGAUCUUCAGAAAAGUGAAUUGGAGCUGCAGCUUUCCUGCUGUGGGAGAACCCAGGCUAUGUGGGACGUGUUCAGGUCAGCUGCUGAAUUUACUCAUUACUGAGAUUUUUUACAUAUAGAUGAGUACUAUUUCAAGUCUUAAAAUUCUGACUUUUUGCCACAGCCUGCUUUUAUUAACUUUGUAAGGAGCUAUGAUUCUACUUUAAGGCUUUGAAGUAGAAGCUGAUAGUAACAAGCAAGUUUUACGUAGCUCUACAUUUUAACUUUCAUAUAUAUAAAGCAUAUACAGAAUAAGAAAAUGAAGGCAACACCUUUCCUUUUCCAGUACUAUUGCAUAUAAAAUGAUUGUUUAUCAAUAAAUACACAAAGUACUUUAAAAUUAUAUUAUGA